RNAcentral lists this unclassified non-coding RNA (345 nucleotides) under soil metagenome. Its description in RNAcentral is "partial contains 5.8S ribosomal RNA, internal transcribed spacer 2, and large subunit ribosomal RNA". The stretch from base 1 to 120 matches the Rfam family "5.8S ribosomal RNA", at positions 35 to 154 of the family's 154-position model. The record is from RNAcentral.
GAUGAAGAACGUAGCGAAAUGCGAUAAGUAAUGUGAAUUGCAGAAUUCAGUGAAUCAUCGAAUCUUUGAACGCACAUUGCGCCCCCUGGUAUUCCGGGGGGCAUGCCUGUCCGAGCGUCAUUGCUGCCCUCAAGCACGGCUUGUGUGUUGGGCCUCCGUCCUCCUCCCGGGGGACGGGCCCGAAAGGCAGCGGCGGCACCGCGUCCGGUCCUCGAGCGUAUGGGGCUUCGUCACCCGCUCUUGUAGGCCCGGCCGGCGCUUGCCGACACAUCAAUCUUUUUUCCAGGUUGACCUCGGAUCAGGUAGGGAUACCCGCUGAACUUAAGCAUAUCAAUAAGCGGGGGA